Pelobates cultripes (western spadefoot toad) is the source of this 827-nucleotide non-coding RNA. NCBI's taxonomy places the organism in Eukaryota, Metazoa, Chordata, Amphibia, Anura, Pelobatidae. The record is from the annotation of a GenBank genome assembly.
GUCCUGCAGUGCGGAGAGAGUCAGCUAAUCUCUCUCAGCCAAUGAGCUAAUCCUUGCACUGCCGGACGUGGCUCAGACAGAGAGAUAUUGGCUCUCCUGUAAGCUGUAGUGGAUGUGGGGAGCAGCCCUCCCUGUACGAAGUCAAACUCUUCUAAAAUGGCUUGACUACUCAAAUGGGAGUGGGAUGCCAGAGCAAUCCUGGCACCAUAUGCACAACAGUCCACUCAAGUGGUUAUGGUGCUUGGAGUGUUCAUUUAAAGGGACACUGUAGGCACUGUAACCGCUUCAUGUCGUUAGAGUGGUUUUAGUAUCUGGAGUACCAUGGCACCAUCCUUCUGUUCAUUCGUUUUUGUGUAUUUGUUUUGUUUUGGCCUCAUAUCCAUAGUGUCAUUUUCUCCAAAUUCAAAUCACUAGUUUAGCUAAAAAAUAAAAAAAUCUUUCCAGCUUUGUGUUGGGUAGUUUUAAAACGACUUUUGUAUUCGACAUACAGUGAGUACAUACCAAAUCGGUGAGAGGUUAGUGUGAGCUGAGUUGCUGACAUAGCUCCAACCGACAGCCAAUCACGGAACUGCUCCCUUUCCCGUUAGUGUGGCAUUGAUAUAUUAUAUACAGAUAAAAAGAGGACAGCGAUUGCUGUGGGGCCGAGUCAACUCAACACCACAACUCCCACUAUACUCUCAUUGGAGAAAUCCUUGCACCACAGCCUGCACGGGAGCCUCUUCCCAAUUUGGCUAUGAGUAGUGACAUGUGUGAUGGCGGGAGAGAAAGAGGACCCGGAGGACAUUGUGGUGUAGGUUUAGGGACUGACAAGUUUAUGGCUAUAGUGU